RNAcentral lists this ribosomal RNA (506 nucleotides) under uncultured bacterium. Its description in RNAcentral is "partial 16S ribosomal RNA". It matches the Rfam family "Bacterial small subunit ribosomal RNA", at positions 28 to 523 of the family's 1533-position model. The record is from RNAcentral.
GAUGAACGCUAGCGGCAGGCCUAACACAUGCAAGUCGAGGGGUAACUAGAGUGAUAGCAAUAUUACUUUGGCUAGACCGGCGCACGGGUGCGUAACACGUAUGCAACCUACCUUAUACUGGGGAAUAACUUCGAGAAAUCGGCGCUAAUACCCCAUAACACUGCGGAGAGGCAUCUCUUUGCAGUUAAAGCUCCGGCGGUAUAAGAUGGGCAUGCGUCCAAUUAGCUAGUUGGUGAGGUAACGGCUAACCAAGGCUACGAUUGGUAGGGGUUCUGAGACGAUGAUCCCCCACACUGGUACUGAGACCCGGACCAGGCUCCUACGGGAGGCAGCGGUGAGGAAUAUUGCGCAAUGGACGAAAGUCUGACGCAGCCAUGCCGCGUGCAGGAUGACGGCCCUAUGGGUUGUAAACUGCUUUUGUACGGGAAUAAACCCUUCUACGUGUAGGAGGCUGAAGGUACCGUAAGAAUAAGCACCGGCUAACUCCGUGCCAGCCGCCGCGGUAA